This 253-nucleotide ribosomal RNA is filed under the name uncultured bacterium. RNAcentral describes it as "partial 16S ribosomal RNA". It matches the Rfam family "Bacterial small subunit ribosomal RNA", at positions 524 to 776 of the family's 1533-position model. The record is from RNAcentral.
UACGUAGGGGGCAAGCGUUGUCCGGAUUUAUUGGGCGUAAAGAGCGUGUAGGCGGCCAGACAGGUCAGCUGUGAAAACUCGAGGCUCAACCUCGAGACGUCGGUUGAAACCGUCUGGCUAGAGUCCGGAAGAGGAGAGUGGAAUUCCCGGUGUAGCGGUGAAAUGCGUAGAUAUCUGGAGGAACACCGGUGGCGAAGGCGGCAUCCUGGACCGACACUGACGCUGAGGCUCGAAAGCGUGGGGAGCAAACAGG